This 257-nucleotide long non-coding RNA is filed under the name Helianthus annuus (common sunflower). RNAcentral describes it as "sRNA HanXRQr2_Chr10g0460271". The record is from RNAcentral. Lineage: Eukaryota; Viridiplantae; Streptophyta; Magnoliopsida; Asterales; Asteraceae.
UUUACAUCAAAAUUCAUCAUAAUCUUCGUCUUUUCAUCUCCACCUUUUGUUUUAGAGAGUGAAAGUAACAAUUUGUAGUGAGAGAAAUUCCAGAUAUCGAACUCCGGCGAAAAUCCGAAUCUCCUGCGAACCGGAUCUGAGUUAUGGUGAAAAUCCGAAUCUCCAGGUGGUGGUUUAACGCCACAACGAAAGGUCGACGGCUAGGGUUCCAGCAGCACAUAAAUCUGACCAGUUGUGGUUUCAGCCAGUAUCGGUAA